This is a long non-coding RNA of Adelges cooleyi (spruce gall adelgid), 998 nucleotides long. RefSeq lists it as uncharacterized. The record is from RefSeq and is a predicted model, not a curated record. Lineage: Eukaryota; Metazoa; Arthropoda; Insecta; Hemiptera; Adelgidae. The transcript is spliced from 4 exons.
UUUGCAAUUAAUGGUGAUUUAACCAGUGGCGGUUCCUCUGUGAAGUAUAUGGAUAUUAGAAACGAUAAUGACUUAAGAUGGAAAUCAAGCGAGCAUUUAUUUUUUUUGCCUCCCCGUAAAGAUAAAACGAUGGUAGUCUCUGAAAAUGGGAUAAUACUUGCCAUUGGUGGUUUAAACGAGUCUGGUAGAUUGACCAAUCUUGUAGACGAGCUUGAUCUUAAGUCAGAAUCAAAACAAUGGGUUUCUACAAGGCCAUUGAACCGACCACGAAGAGCAUUUGGUGUUUGUACUUACAAACAGUACAUAUAUGUCGUGGGAGGCUGUGAUUACUCAAAUUGGAAAAGUUCGAAUUCUGUAGAAUACAAAUUCAAAAGUAUGGACCGAAAUUACUGAACCAAUGCCCACUGCUCGCUGCGAGUGUAGUGCUGCAGUAUUUAAUAAUAAAUUAUAUGUUUUUGGUGGACGUAAUGAACAAAGUAUUUCUAAACGUGAUUCUCUUGCAACUGUAGAAUGCUAUGAUAUUGAAAAUAAACACUGGCAACAACUUAAACCAAUGCCCAAGUGUAAUUUGGGUAUGAGUUUAUCAAGAAUAGAUAACGUCAUUUAUCUCAUUGGUGGUAGUGCUGAUGAAUCAUGUGUACAACGAGUUAUGUAGUUCGACUUACAAAAUUUCAAAUUUGAUGAAAUGCCUAACAUGACCAUGGAUUUUAAAUUGGGUUGCGCAAGUGUUGGUAUCUUGAAAAACGACUUAUACGUGUUUGUGAAUAAUGGAGGAGAACUUCAUUGUGAAAGAUAUGACAGAGAAAAAAAUCAAUGGCUAUUGGUUGACACAUCAGAAAACUUAUUAUACUCAAUAUAUCAACCUAUCAUUACUUUUAAUAAUGUUACACUGAAUUAUUGUUAUGGUAUUCACCUAUAAUACUAUGUUUUUGUAUUAAUACCAUUUUGUGUACUCAAUUUAGUCUUAAAAAUAUUAAAUGACUUAAAUUAAUUAAUUA